This 468-nucleotide ribosomal RNA is filed under the name uncultured bacterium. RNAcentral describes it as "partial 16S ribosomal RNA". The stretch from base 58 to 468 matches the Rfam family "Bacterial small subunit ribosomal RNA", at positions 39 to 507 of the family's 1533-position model. The record is from RNAcentral.
GGGGGGGGGGGGCGGGGGGCGGGGGGGGUGGGGGGGGAGGGGGGGGGCGCGGGGGGGGUGGGGGGCUCGGGGGGCGAGCGGGGGAGUGACACGGGAGUAACCUGCCCUUGACUUUGGGAGAACUUCAGGAAACGGGGGCUAAUACCGGGUAGGAGCUCCUGCUGCAUGGGGGGGGUUGGAAAGUUUCGGCGGUUGGGGAUGGACUCGCGGCUUAUCAGCUUGUUGGUGGGGUAGUGGCUUACCAAGGCUUUGACGGGUAGCCGGCCUGAGAGGGUGACCGGCCACAUUGGGACUGAGAUACGGCCCAGACUCCUACGGGAGGCAGCAGUGGGGAAUAUUGCACAAUGGGCGGAAGCCUGAUGCAGCAACGCCGCGUGCGGGAUGACGGCCUUCGGGUUGUAAACCGCUUUCGCCUGUGACGAAGCGUGAGUGACGGUAAUGGGUAAAGAAGCACCGGCUAACUACGUG